Molecule: long non-coding RNA, 825 nt
Organism: Musa acuminata AAA Group (dessert banana)
Lineage: Eukaryota; Viridiplantae; Streptophyta; Magnoliopsida; Zingiberales; Musaceae
Exons: 2
Source: RefSeq, a predicted model, not a curated record
UGUACAAAAAACAUAAUCAAAAUUUGACAAUUAGACCCUUGUGAUCUAAAUGGAUUCAAAGGUUUGCUAACAUUUAUGAUAGAAUUAAAUAGUGAUGUUACAUAAAAUGGAUUCUAACAUUGUCACAUGGAAAAGGUGAUGGAUCCUGUUGUGGACAAGAAACGGUUUUAAGUAUCCAUCAUAGGUUGAAGAGGCUCCACCGUUCCCACCCCUCGAUUCUCCCUCCUUUCUCCUCCCACCAUGCUCCCAAGAACCGAGAGCAUCUUCCACCUGGGGGAGGAAGAAGGUGGUGAGGCUCCAGAGAGUGCAGCCGCCAUCACAGAGCUCGAUUGCUCCAAAUACGAAGGCCUUCGUAUCCUCAUACAGCGUUCGGGACGACCAUCCAACUAUGUCGUCAUCAAGUCUUUGUUGAAGCCAUUCACAUUCACGCCUAUGGUUUCGCCACCACGGUUUGGCUUCCUCAGAGCUUGCUGCUUCUGCAAAAGGGAGCUCAGUCUUCACAAGGAUGUGUACAUGUACAGGGCAGGGGAGAGCAGGGGUUCUGCAGCGAGGAAUGCCGUCGACGCCAAAUCCUGCAAGAUGAGAGGAGUGAACUCGGAGCGUCGACGAGGGAGAGGUCGAAGGCUCCUCUUCCUCGUCAUGCUUCCACCGGAGUUGAUGAUUCUGGCCGACGCAGGAGGAUCUCAGCAGUAGCCUAGAGAUAAAACCAUCCAUCAAGAAGCACAUCUGAUCUUUGUUUCCUUUCUCGUCUAAAAAGGAAGAGAAAGCUGCAUGUCUUAUGACUCUCGCAUUGUUGUAUGUCAAUAAAAAGAAAUAUGCUUCCAA